CGCCUCUUGAAAUAACUAUAAGAGGUCCAGCCUGCCCAGUGACUCUGUUCAACGGCCGCGGUAUCCUAACCGUGCGAAGGUAGCGUAAUCACUUGUUCUUUAAAUGGGGACUUGUAUGAAUGGCACCACGAGGGUUAUACUGUCUCCUUUUUCUAAUCAGUGAAACUAAUCUUCCCGUGAAGAAGCGGGAAUAAAAAUAUAAGACGAGAAGACCCUAUGGAGCUUUAAACUUAGCAACAAGUACUAUUAACCUUUUAACUUUCCGAAUAUAAAUUAUUACUUUAGUACUAUGAUUAUUAGUUUUAGGUUGGGGUGACCGCGGAGUAUAAACUAACCUCCACAUUGAACGGGACACAUCCCUGAGCCAAGAGCUACGACUCUAAGCACCAAUAAAUUGACAUUAAUUGACCCAUUUUUGUGAUCAACGAACCAAGUUACCCUAGGGAUAACAGCGCAAUCCACUUCAAGAGCUCAUAUCGACAAGUGGGUUUACGACCUCGAUGUUGGAUCAGGGUAUCCCAGUGGUGCAGCCGCUACUAACGGUUCGUUUGUUCAACGAUUAAAACCCU
This 569-nucleotide ribosomal RNA is filed under the name Osteopilus septentrionalis (Cuban treefrog). RNAcentral's name for it is "partial 16S ribosomal RNA". It matches the Rfam family "Bacterial large subunit ribosomal RNA", at positions 1819 to 2597 of the family's 2925-position model. The record is from RNAcentral. Lineage: Eukaryota; Metazoa; Chordata; Amphibia; Anura; Hylidae.